Molecule: ribosomal RNA, 253 nt
Filed under: uncultured bacterium
Lineage: Bacteria
Description: partial 16S ribosomal RNA
Rfam family: Bacterial small subunit ribosomal RNA
Source: RNAcentral
UACGGAGGGUGCAAGCGUUAAUCGGAAUUACUGGGCGUAAAGCGCGCGUAGGCGGCUGGAUAAGUCGAUUGUGAAAGCCCCGGGCUCAACCUGGGAAUUGCAGUCGAGACUGUUCGGCUAGAGUGUGGGAGAGGGCAGUGGAAUUCCCGGUGUAGCGGUGAAAUGCGUAGAUAUCGGGAGGAACAUCAGUGGCGAAGGCGACCGCCUGGCCCAACACUGACGCUGAGGUGCGAAAGCGUGGGUAGCAAACAAG